AGUGGGAUCAAAUGGAUUGAGAGGAGGCU
RNAcentral lists this non-coding RNA (29 nucleotides) under Cricetulus griseus (Chinese hamster). The record is from RNAcentral. Lineage: Eukaryota; Metazoa; Chordata; Mammalia; Rodentia; Cricetidae.